AGAGUGAACGCUGGCGGUAGGCCUAAUACAUGCAAGUCGAGCGGCCACUUCGGUGGCAGCGGCGGACGGGUGAGUAACGCGUGGGAAUGUGCCCUUUGGUACGGAACAACUGAGGGAAACUUCAGCUAAUACCGUAUGUGCCCUUCGGGGGAAAGAUUUAUUGCCAUUGGAGCAGCCCGCGUUGGAUUAGCUAGUUGGUGGGGUAAAGGCCCACCAAGGCGACGAUCCAUAGCUGGUCUGAGAGGAUGAUCAGCCACACUGGGACUGAGACACGGCCCAGACUCUUACGGGAGGCAGCAGUAGGGAAUCUUGCGCAAUGGGCGAAAGCCUGACGCAGCCAUGCCGCGUGAAUGAUGAAGGUCUUAGGAUUGUAAAAUUCUUUCACCGGGAAGAUAAUGACGGUACCCGGAGAAGAAGCCCGGCUAACUUCGCGCCAGCAGCCGC
This 444-nucleotide ribosomal RNA is filed under the name uncultured soil bacterium. Its description in RNAcentral is "bacterial SSU rRNA". It matches the Rfam family "Bacterial small subunit ribosomal RNA", at positions 26 to 518 of the family's 1533-position model. The record is from RNAcentral.